Molecule: ribosomal RNA, 257 nt
Filed under: Staphylococcus aureus
Lineage: Bacteria; Bacillati; Bacillota; Bacilli; Caryophanales; Staphylococcaceae
Description: partial 16S ribosomal RNA
Rfam family: Bacterial small subunit ribosomal RNA
Source: RNAcentral
AAAGUUGUUCUCAGUUCGGAUUGUAGUCUGCAACUCGACUACAUGAAGCUGGAAUCGCUAGUAAUCGUAGAUCAGCAUGCUACGGUGAAUACGUUCCCGGGUCUUGUACACACCGCCCGUCACACCACGAGAGUUUGUAACACCCGAAGCCGGUGGAGUAACCUUUUAGGAGCUAGCCGUCGAAGGUGGGACAAAUGAUUGGGGUGAAGUCGUAACAAGGUAGCCGUAUCGGAAGGUGCGGCUGGAUCACCUCCUUU